AGCGUUUCCGCGCAGCUACGGAAAUCAACAGCAAGAUUCCCGCUGUCUGCAAAUGAUCCGGUACUAGAGGUUCAUCUGUGAGCAUACCUCUCAGCCAGGACCCCGGAAUGGCAUCCACGUCCUCCAGCACAUCAUGCACUCCUCCAACUUGCUGUCAUCCACAAACUCGAUGUGAGUGUGCUCACCCCAUCCACCUAGUUCAUCAGUGGUGACACUACACAGCACCAGGCCAGGGACUGGCCCGAGGAACACCACCAGUUGGGGUCUGAAGAGGUUACCAGUCCAAUGCCAGCAGUUCCGUAACAUCUUUAAAUUAUCAUAAACUGGCACUUCAGCAGCAAGAUACAGUCCCAGUUUCUCUUCAGCAAGCAAAAACUUGAGAACAGACAGCACUGACAAGAAGCAACCAGGACACAGCAGCACAUUACUUCUUUUGGUGUAGACUUCCUGAUUUAUAUGCCACUCACAAAAUCACAGCCCUAGGAAUUACACCUUACAAUCAUGGGUCUUCAGCAUUAGUCUCUCUUUGUCACUUGACAGUAUAGAUAAAAUAAUCUCUUGCAACAAAAACAUGCAAUAAAGGUGUAAGAGCAACCAUGCUGGGACAACCAGAAGAUCCAGCUGCCCUCCUGCCUACCUGCACCUGCAUCCCCUCGACCCACAACAGAGGUAGCGUUCUGGUAACAGGCUUGACUCGGCUCCAUCUGGUAUUCCCAGGCCUGAGCUCUGGUUGUCAGAGCAGCAAUUAAACCUCAGAGCUAAACAAACGCAGAGAAGGAAGCACUGGCCACCGUGAAACAACAAAACAUGAAACCCAAAACGGAUCAAACUGAACUGAGCUAUGAUGAAUACCAUGAAGAUAAAAUAAGAAGUAGGAGGCAAGUUCCCUGGUCUGUACCAUCACAUACAACCGAG
Cygnus atratus (black swan) is the source of this 915-nucleotide long non-coding RNA. RefSeq lists it as uncharacterized. NCBI's taxonomy places the organism in Eukaryota, Metazoa, Chordata, Aves, Anseriformes, Anatidae. The transcript is spliced from 4 exons. The record is from RefSeq and is a predicted model, not a curated record.